CAACUUAUAGCUUAAUUAAAGCAUCUUGCUUACACCGAGAAAAUACCUGUUAAACUCAGGUUAAAUUGA
RNAcentral lists this transfer RNA (69 nucleotides) under Triturus carnifex (Italian crested newt). Its description in RNAcentral is "tRNA-Val". It matches the Rfam family "tRNA". Rfam says of the family: Transfer RNA (tRNA) molecules are approximately 80 nucleotides in length. Their secondary structure includes four short double-helical elements and three loops (D, anti-codon, and T loops). Lineage: Eukaryota; Metazoa; Chordata; Amphibia; Caudata; Salamandridae. The record is from RNAcentral.